This 1350-nucleotide ribosomal RNA is filed under the name uncultured bacterium. RNAcentral describes it as "bacterial SSU rRNA". It matches the Rfam family "Bacterial small subunit ribosomal RNA", at positions 86 to 1439 of the family's 1533-position model. The record is from RNAcentral.
AAUUGGUCAGUGGCGAAAGGGUGAGUAAUGGAUAGGUAACGUACCCCGGGCUCCGGGACAGCUAGCCGAAAGGUUAGGUAAUACCGGAUCAUAUCGUGGGCCGACGGGUCUGCGAUCAAAGAUUUAUCGGCACGGGAGCGGCCUAUCUCCUAUCAGCUUGUUGGUGAGGUAACGGCCCACCAAGGCGAUGACGGGUAGCGGGACUGAGAGGUUGGCCCGCCACAUCGGGACUGAGACACUGCCCGGACCCCCACGGGGGGCUGCAGUAACGAAUAUUGGGCAAUGGGCGAAAGCCUGACCCAGCGACGCCGCGUGCGGGAGGAAGCCCUUCGGGGUGUAAACCGCUGUCAGGGGGAUGAAAGUCCCGGUGGAUUGAUCUAACCCAGAGGAAGUCACGGCUAACUCUGUGCCAGCAGCCGCGGUAAGACAGAGGUGGCAAGCGUUGUUCGGUAUCACUGGGCUUAAAGCGUGUGUAGGCGGAAGCGUAAGCAUUUUGUGAAAUCCCCCGGCUCAACCGGGGAAUCGCUCGAUGUACUGCGUUUCUUGGAGUACUGUAGGGGUGCGCGAAACUCUUGGUGGAGCCGUGUAAUGCGAGAUUUCAAGAGGAACGCCGGUGGAGAAGUCGGCGCACUGGGCCUGUCCUGACGCUUAGACCCGAAAGCGUGGGAGCAAACGGGAUUAGAUACCCCGGUAGUCCACGCUGUAAACGAUGCCUACUAGGUUGUGGCGGUUCUGACGCCGGCACAGCCGAAGCUAAAGUGUUAAGUAGGCCGCCUGGGGAGUACGGUCGCAAGGCUAAAACUCAAAGGAAUUGACGGGGGCUCACACAAGCGGUGGAGCAUGUGGAUUAAUUCGAAGCAACGCGCAGAACCUUGCCUGGGUUUGACAUGCUUGGAUGCCCGCCUGGAAACAGGUUGGGUUGCCCUUCGGGGUGAAACUUGCACAGGUGCUGCAUGGCUGUCGUCAGCUCGUGUCGUGAGAUGUCGGGUUAAGUCCCAUAACGAGCGAAACCCUUGCCGUUAGUUGCCAGCGGGUCAUGCCGGGGACUCUAACGGGACUGCCGGUGUUAAACCGGAGGAAGGUGGGGAUGACGUCAAGUCAUCAUGGCCUUUAUGCCCAGGGCCUCACACGUGCUACAAUGGUUGAGACAAAGCGACGCGAUACCGUGAGGUGGAGCCAAUCGCAAAAACUCGACCCCAGUACGGAUUGCAGGCUGGCAACUCGCCUGCACGAAGCCGGAAUCGCUAGUAAUCGCGAAUCAGCGAUGUCGCGGUGAAUGUGUUCCUGAGCCUUGUACACACCGCCCGUCAAGUGAUGGGAGUUGGGAGCACCCGAAGUCAGGUUGCUAAC